AUGAUCAUGCAGAAUUUGAACAUGCUGAGUUCCAUCGUUUUCCUACUUGUCUUCCCUAUCCUGCCCAUGGUUGUCGCCUACCCCUCCACUGCAGCUCCCUCAAAUCUCUGGAAAAUAUCUAGUAUGCAAACCAGAGUAGCCAUGUCAGGAAAUCCCAGUGCCCUUGUCAUUCUUGAGAGUGUCAGCACCUCAUACCGACUUCUUUUUGGCUUCUACACCAUGGACGGCAAUGCAUUCACUCUCUCUGUCUUGCUCAUGGGAGCCCAGCCUCCGGCCAUCUGGUCUGCUAACCCUGGUGAUCCCGUAAGCCAGGAUGCCAUGUUGAACUUCACCAGCGAUGGGAAUAUGCUGCUCAGCGACGGGGAUGGCACCGUUAUCUGGUCAACAGCCACAAAGAGCAGGUCAGUUGCAGGCUUGCGGCUAGAUGUUUCAGGAAACCUUGUGUUGUUUGAUCAGAAAAAUUCCUCUGUUUGGCAGUCGUUUCACCACCCAACAGAUACAUUGGUCCUGGGACAAUCGCUCUGCAGGGGCAUGAACAUAAGUGUAAAACCCUCCAAAACAAAAUGGCCAUCUGCUCGGAUUUAUCUUUCUGCAGAGUUUGGUGGACUGCAGUAUUCAUCUCAACCAGCAAACUAUUCACAAUCGUUCACUGAAGUUGCUAGCACCAAAUCAGACUGUUAUGCAUUUGUCAAUGGCAGCUUUGGGUUCCCAAAUCAGGUUUUCUGGCUGCCGCAAGCAAGAUCAUUGCAAUACAUGCGGUUAGAGUCCGAUGGACAUUUGAGGCUUUACGAGAUGCAGGGCUACUCUAGCCCGCGGCUUCGGUUUGAUGUAUUAAGCCUAGCCAUGAAAUUUUGUGACUACCCAUUCGCAUGCGGUGAUUAUGGUGUUUGCAGUGAUGGGCAGUGCUCUUGCCCUAGUUUGAGCUACUUUAGGUCAAACAAUGAACGUCAUCCAGAUGCUGGUUGCACACUCUUAACCACCAUCUCCUGCAACCGUGCGCACUACCAUCAGUUGCUACCACUCGGCAACGUUUCUUACUUCAGUGACAACAUGUUCCGGAAAUUGGCCAUUUCAAGUUCCUCAGAAGAGGUCUGCAAGCAAGCUUGCUUAAUAGAUUGUGCUUGCAGAGUUGCCAUUUUCCAGUAUUACGGAUCGAAUCAUUACAGUAAUGGUGGUAACUGCUUGUUGUUAUCAGAGGAAAAACUAAUUUCGCUGGCAGAAGGUUCGUCCGAUGGACUUUCAGCAUACAUCAAGAUACAAGGCACACGAUCAAUCAAAAAAAGGAUCACAGCUAUAGUUUGUUCAGUAAUUGCAGGUUUGUCUGCAUUAGGAAUCUUGUUCUCCGCCAUCAUAUGGAAAAUGUGCAAGAAAGAGGAAGAACAGCUCUUUGAUAGCAUACCCGGGACACCAAAGCGUUUCUCCUUUCACGAGUUGAAGGUAGCUACCAGCAACUUCUCUGUGAAGCUUGGAAGUGGUGGAUUUGGGUCAGUCUUCAAAGGAAAGAUAGGCAGGGAAACAAUCGCAGUCAAACGUUUGGAAAGUGUUCAGCAAGGAACCGAGGAGUUCUUAGCAGAGGUCAUGACAAUUGGGAGAAUGCAUGACCAUAAUCUUGUCAGGUUGAUAGGAUUUUGUGCAGAGAAGUCGCACAGGCUUCUUGUCUACGAGUACCUGUGCAACGGUUCAUUGGAUAAGUGGAUCUUUCAUGCAUGUUCAGUUUUCACUUUGUCAUGGAAAACUAGACGUAACAUCAUAAUUUCCAUAGCCAGAGGUUUGUCCUACCUCCAUGAAGAAUGCAAGGAAAAGAUCGCCCACUUGGACAUAAAGCCACAGAAUAUUCUCCUUGAUGAUAGGUUCAUCGCAAAGCUUUCUGAUUUUGGACUGUCCAAAAUGAUAAACUGGGACCAGAGCAAAAUUAUGACUCGGAUGCGAGGCACCCGUGGAUAUCUAGCUCCCGAAUGGCUUGGCUCAAAAAUCACUGAGAAGGCUGAUAUCUACAGCUUUGGUAUUGUAGUGGUGGAAAUCCUUUGUGGCCGAGAGAAUUUGGACGAAUCGCUGCCCGAGGAAAGCAUUCACCUGAUAAGUCUGCUCGAAGAAAAGGCAAGAUCUGGUCACCUGCUCGACUUAGUGGACAGUGGCAGCAAUGAUAUGCAAUGUCAUAUGGAGGAGGUCAUGGAAGCGAUGAGGCUUGCAAUGUGGUGCUUACAGGUUGACAGCAGCAGAAGGCCCUUGAUGUCAACGGUCGCAAAGGUGUUGGAAGGCGUGACGAGCUUGGAGGCUGCACCUGACUACAGCUUUGUCCCUAGUUUUGCAUCAAAUGGUGCUAGUAGUGCAGGGCCAACUUCUUCCUAUGUGCCAUCGGAAUCACAUUUAUCAGGGCCUAGAUGA
Molecule: ribosomal RNA, 2385 nt
Filed under: Triticum aestivum (bread wheat)
Lineage: Eukaryota; Viridiplantae; Streptophyta; Magnoliopsida; Poales; Poaceae
Description: partial small subunit ribosomal RNA
Source: RNAcentral